AGUGAACGCUGGCGGUAGGCCUAACACAUGCAAGUCGAACGGCAGCACAGGAGAGCUUGCUCUCUGGGUGGCGAGUGGCGGACGGGUGAGGAAUACAUCGGAAUCUACUUUUUCGUGGGGGAUAACGUAGGGAAACUUACGCUAAUACCGCAUACGACCUACGGGUGAAAGCAGGGGAUCUUCGGACCUUGCGCGAUUGAAUGAGCCGAUGUCGGAUUAGCUAGUUGGCGGGGUAAAGGCCCACCAAGGCGACGAUCCGUAGCUGGUCUGAGAGGAUGAUCAGCCACACUUGAACUGGUACACGGUCCAGACUCCUGCGGGAGGCAGCAGUGGGGAAUAUUGGACAAUGGGCGCAAGCCUGAUCCAGCCAUACCGCGUGGGUGAAGAAGGCCUUCGGGUUGUAAAGCCCUUUUGUUGGGAAAGAAAUCCAGCUGGUUAAUACCCGGGUGGGAUGACGGUACCCAAAGAAUAAGCACCGGCUAACUUCGUGCCAGCCGCCGCCGUAA
Molecule: ribosomal RNA, 506 nt
Filed under: uncultured bacterium
Lineage: Bacteria
Description: partial 16S ribosomal RNA
Rfam family: Bacterial small subunit ribosomal RNA
Source: RNAcentral